Molecule: ribosomal RNA, 253 nt
Filed under: uncultured bacterium
Lineage: Bacteria
Description: partial 16S ribosomal RNA
Rfam family: Bacterial small subunit ribosomal RNA
Source: RNAcentral
CACGUAGGGCGCGAGCGUUGUCCGGAAUUAUUGGGCGUAAAGAGCUCGUAGGCGGCCUGUUGCGUCCGCUGUGAAAGCCCGGGGCUUAACCCCGGGUCGGCAGUGGAUACGGGCAGGCUAGAGGUAGGUAGGGGAGAAUGGAAUUCCUGGUGUAGCGGUGAAAUGCGCAGAUAUCAGGAGGAACACCGGUGGCGAAGGCGGUUCUCUGGGCCUUACCUGACGCUGAGGAGCGAAAGCGUGGGGAGCAAACAGG